This 437-nucleotide ribosomal RNA is filed under the name uncultured bacterium. RNAcentral's name for it is "partial 16S ribosomal RNA". It matches the Rfam family "Bacterial small subunit ribosomal RNA", at positions 338 to 795 of the family's 1533-position model. The record is from RNAcentral.
CCUACGGGUGGCAGCAGUGGGGGAUAUUGCACAAUGGGCGGAACACUGAUGCAGCGACGCCGCGUGGGUGAAGAAGCGCCUCGGCGCGUUAAGCCCCGUCAGCAGGGAAGCAAAUGCCGGUACCUGUAGAAGCCCCGGCUUACUACGUGCCAGAAGCUCCGCUAAUACGUUGGGGGCAAGCGCUAUCAGGCGUGACUGGGUGUAAAGGGGGCGCAGACGGCGAUGCAAGCCGGGGGGGAAAGCCGGGGGCCCAAAACCGGGACUGCCGUUGGAACUGCGUGGCUGGAGUGCAGGAGAGGCAGGCGGAAUUCGUGGUGUAGCGGUGAAAUGCAUAGAUAUCAGGAAGAACUCCGAUGGCGAAGGCAGCAUACUGGAGUGCAACUGACGUUGAGGCCCGAAAGCGUGGGGAGCGAACAGGAUUAGAUACCCGUGUAGUC